GACGAACGCUGGCGGCGUGCCUAAUACAUGCAAGUCGAGCGAAUCGAUAGGAGCUUGCUCCCAGAAAUUAGCGGCGGACGGGUGAGUAACACGUGGGCAACCUGCCUAUAAGACUGGGAUAACUUCGGGAAACCGGAGCUAAUACCGGAUACGUUCUUUUCUCGCAUGAGAAAAGAUGGAAAGACGGCCUCUAGCUGUCACUUAUAGAUGGGCCCGCGGCGCAUUAGCUAGUUGGUGAGGUAAUGGCUCACCAAGGCGACGAUGCGUAGCCGACCUGAGAGGGUGAUCGGCCACACUGGGACUGAGACACGGCCCAGACUCCUACGGGAGGCAGCAGUAGGGAAUCUUCCGCAAUGGACGAAAGUCUGACGGAGCAACGCCGCGUGAACGAAGAAGGCCUUCGGGUCGUAAAGUUCUGUUGUUAGGGAAGAACAAGUACCAGAGUAACUGCUGGUACCUUGACGGUACCUAACCAGAAAGCCACGGCUAACUACGUGCCAGCAGCCGCAGUAAGAC
This 516-nucleotide ribosomal RNA is filed under the name uncultured bacterium. RNAcentral describes it as "bacterial SSU rRNA". It matches the Rfam family "Bacterial small subunit ribosomal RNA", at positions 28 to 526 of the family's 1533-position model. The record is from RNAcentral.